Molecule: ribosomal RNA, 197 nt
Filed under: uncultured Bacteroidota bacterium
Lineage: Bacteria; Pseudomonadati; Bacteroidota
Description: uncultured Bacteroidetes bacterium partial 16S ribosomal RNA
Rfam family: Bacterial small subunit ribosomal RNA
Source: RNAcentral
GCUAGCGGCAGGCCUAAUACAUGCAAGUCGAGGGGUAACAUGAGAGCUUGCUCUUGAUGACGACCGGCGCACGGGUGCGUAACGCGUAUGCAACCUACCCACAACUGGAGCAUAGCCCGGAGAAAUUCGGAUUAAUACUCCAUAAUGCAGGGGUACCUCCUGGUACUAUUUGCUAAAGAUUUAUCGGUUGUGGAUGG